Molecule: ribosomal RNA, 253 nt
Filed under: uncultured bacterium
Lineage: Bacteria
Description: partial 16S ribosomal RNA
Rfam family: Bacterial small subunit ribosomal RNA
Source: RNAcentral
GACGGAGGAUGCAAGUGUUAUCCGGAAUCACUGGGCGUAAAGCGUCUGUAGGUGGUUUAAAAAGUCCACUGUUAAAGAUUGAAGCUUAACCUCAAAAAUGCCGUGGAAACUUUUAAACUUGAGUAUGAUAGGGGUAGAGGGAAUUUCCAGUGGAGCGGUGAAAUGCGUAGAUAUUGGAAAGACCACCAAUGGCGAAGGCACUCUACUGGGCCAUUACUGACACUGAGAGACGAAAGCUAGGGGAGCAAAUGGG